UAGGAGGUUGUAUAAUUUGGUAGUACGCAAAGUUUUGGGCUUUGUUGUGCAGGUUCGUAGCCUGUCCUUCUAG
RNAcentral lists this transfer RNA (73 nucleotides) under Coleonyx mitratus. RNAcentral's name for it is "tRNA-Gln". It matches the Rfam family "tRNA". Rfam says of the family: Transfer RNA (tRNA) molecules are approximately 80 nucleotides in length. Their secondary structure includes four short double-helical elements and three loops (D, anti-codon, and T loops). Further hydrogen bonds mediate the characteristic L-shaped molecular structure. tRNAs have two regions of fundamental functional importance: the anti-codon, which is responsible for specific mRNA codon recognition, and the 3' end, to which the tRNAs corresponding amino acid is attached (by aminoacyl-tRNA synthetases). tRNAs cope with the degeneracy of the genetic code in two manners: having more than one tRNA (with a specific anti-codon) for a particular amino acid; and 'wobble' base-pairing, i.e. permitting non-standard base-pairing at the 3rd anti-codon position. The record is from RNAcentral. Lineage: Eukaryota; Metazoa; Chordata; Lepidosauria; Squamata; Eublepharidae.